CCUACGGGAGGCUGCAGUGGGGAAUAUUGCACAAUGGGGGAAACCCUGAUGCAGCGACGCCGCGUGAAGGAAGAAGGAUUUCGGUAUGUAAACUUCUAUCAGCAGGGAAGAAAAUGAUUGUACCUGACUACGAAGCCCCGGCCAACUACUUGCCAGCAGCCGCGGUAAUACUUAGGGGGCAAGCGUUAGCCGGAUUUACUGGGUGUAAAGGGAGCGUAGGUGGUGAAGCAAGUCAGACGUGAAAGCCCGGGGCUCAACUCCGGGACUGCUUUUGAAACUGUUGAACUAGAUUGCAGGAGAGGUAAGUGGAAUUCCUAGUGUAGCGGUGAAAUGCGUAGAUAUUAGGAGGAACACCAGGGGCGAAGGCGGCUUACUGGACUGUAAAUGACGCUGAGGCUCGAAAGCGUGGGGAGCAAACAGGAUUAGAUACCCUGGUAGUC
Molecule: ribosomal RNA, 440 nt
Filed under: uncultured bacterium
Lineage: Bacteria
Description: partial 16S ribosomal RNA
Rfam family: Bacterial small subunit ribosomal RNA
Source: RNAcentral